CUACGAAAACCCUAAACAAUUAGAUCUGAAACGAAACAGAAAAUUAAAAGAUUAGAUUUUUUAAUUUUCAGAUCUGAAAUAAAAUCCCCAAAUCAGCAAAGAAUCAAAUUGAGAAUAGAAAUAAGUGUUAGGGUUUUUGAAACUCUCAAGGAGAUUGUGAUUCUGCCCAAUUGAACACCAAGAUAGUUUUCCCCAAAUUUCGACAAUCUAAUUUCACCCAAAAAGAGUAUGGAAAAACCCUAGAAAUUGGGGAUUUUUGGGCUGAUUCCUUAAGAUAGAAAAAGGCUGAAAACACAAUAAGAACAGAAAAUAGAUUAGAUAAUGAUUCAGCACAAGUAGAAAUAAAGAAAGAAUUGACAGUAAGAAAUUAAAA
This 373-nucleotide long non-coding RNA is filed under the name Gossypium barbadense (sea-island cotton). RNAcentral describes it as "long non-coding RNA (GBAR_LNC018058)". The record is from RNAcentral. Lineage: Eukaryota; Viridiplantae; Streptophyta; Magnoliopsida; Malvales; Malvaceae.